This 1435-nucleotide ribosomal RNA is filed under the name metagenome. Its description in RNAcentral is "bacterial LSU rRNA". It matches the Rfam family "Bacterial large subunit ribosomal RNA", at positions 1505 to 2925 of the family's 2925-position model. The record is from RNAcentral.
UCCCGGUUCAAGCGUGUAGGCGUGCCGCAUAGGCAAAUCCGUGCGGCUUAGCUGAGGCGUGAUGACGAGGUCUCAUCGAGACUGAAGUAGUUGAUACCCCGCUUCCAGGAAAAGCCUCUAAGCUUCAGUUCAAGGUUGACCGUACCGCAAACCGACACAGGUGGGCAGGGUGAGAAUCCUAAGGCGCUUGAGAGAACUCGGGUGAAGGAACUCGGCAAAUUAGCACCGUAACUUCGGGAGAAGGUGCGCCCCGGUAGGUUGUAGUCCCUCGCGGACGAAGGCCGAUGGGGUUGCAGUGAAAUGGUGGCUGCGACUGUUUAAUAAAAACACAGCACUCUGCAAAGAUGAUGAAUCGACGUAUAGGGUGUGACGCCUGCCCGGUGCCGGAAGGUUAAGUGAUGGGGUGCAAGCUCUUGAUCGAAGCCCCGGUAAACGGCGGCCGUAACAAUAACGGUCCUAAGGUAGCGAAAUUCCUUGUCGGGUAAGUUCCGACCUGCACGAAUGGCGUAACGAUGGCCACACUGUCUCCACCCGAGACUCAGCGAAGUUGAAAUGUUUGUGAUGAUGCAAUCUACCCGCGGCUAGACGGAAAGACCCCGUGCACCUUUACUGUAGCUUUGCAUUGGACUGUGAUGGGAUCUGUGUAGGAUAGGUGGGAGGCGUUGAUGGUGUGCCGCUAGGUGCGCCGGAGCCGACGUUGAAAUACCACCCUGAUGUCAUUGCGGUUCUAACCUUGGGCCAUGAAUCUGGCUCGGGGACCGUGCAUGGUAGGCAGUUUGACUGGGGCGGUCUCCUCCCAAAGUGUAACGGAGGAGUGCGAAGGUACGCUUGGCGCGGUCGGACAUCGCGCUGUAAGUGCAAUGGCAAAAGCGUGCUUGACUGCGAGACUGACAAGUCGAGCAGCUACGAAAGUAGGUCAUAGUGAUCCGGUGGUUCUGUAUGGAAGGGCCAUCGCUCAACGGAUAAAAGGUACGCCGGGGAUAACAGGCUGAUUCCUCCCAAGAGUUCACAUCGACGGGGGAGUUUGGCACCUCGAUGUCGGCUCAUCACAUCCUGGGGCUGUAGCCGGUCCCAAGGGUAUGGCUGUUCGCCAUUUAAAGUGGUACGUGAGCUGGGUUUAAAACGUCGUGAGACAGUUUGGUCCCUAUCUGCCGUGGGCGCUGGAAGUUUGAGGGGGGCUGCUCCUAGUACGAGAGGACCGGAGUGGACGUGCCUCUGGUGUACCGGUUAUGACGCCAGUCGUAUCGCCGGGUAGCUAAGCACGGAAGAGAUAACCGCUGAAAGCAUCUAAGCGGGAAACUCGCCUCAAGAUGAGACUUCCCGAGGCCAUGAGCCUCUUAGAGGGUCGUCGAAGACUACGACGUUGAUAGGCGCCGUGUGCAAGCGUGGCAACACGUUCAGCUAAGGCGUACUAAUUGCCCGUACGGCUUGAUCC